RNAcentral lists this ribosomal RNA (2537 nucleotides) under Draculiciteria tesselata. RNAcentral describes it as "eukaryotic LSU rRNA". It matches the Rfam family "Eukaryotic large subunit ribosomal RNA", at positions 39 to 2132 of the family's 3401-position model. The record is from RNAcentral. Lineage: Eukaryota; Metazoa; Gastrotricha; Chaetonotida; Xenotrichulidae.
CAUAUCACUAAGGGGAGGAAAAGAAAAUAACAAUGAUUUCCUUAGUAACGGCGAGUGAAGAGGAAAAAGCCCAGCGUCGAAGCCGGUAACUUUAAGUUGCGUGGCAAUGUGACGUUUGAGUUUGUCAGCUGUGUUACUCUUUGAUGCCUAACUUUCCAUGAUCGGGUCUGCCCAUAGCUGGUGAAAGGCCCUUAAUGGCAUAAUAAAGAAUACACUUUGUCAAACUUUAGAGUCAGGUUGUUUGUGAUUGCAACCCAAAGUAGGUGGUAAACUCCACCCAAGGCUAAAUACAGGCACGAUUCCGAUAGCAAACAAGUACGGUGACGGACAGUUGAAAAGAACUUUGAAGAGAGAGUUCAAAGUACGUGAAACCGUUCAGAGGUAAACGGGUAAAGCCCAUAAGUUUACAUUGUGCAUGGCAAUUGAGCUCAUUAUGUGAAAGUUGGAUAUGGGUAAUUUACUUUUGUCUUUUCUUGUUCACUACUCACUUGUCAUCUUGUACAGUGUAAUGCGCACCAACAACUUGUAAUUGAGGCUAUGAGGUGGAAGGUAGUUGUCAUGUUUCAUGACAAUGUUAUAUCCAGCUUGGGUAUAUGAAUUUAUUUUUAUAUACUCACCUCUUUUGGCGUAUAUCUCAUUUAACAAGUUAGAAAUUAUUCGUGUCAAGUACACUGCCAAAUUUUAUUGUGCAGCUCUACUAUCUGUUUGUUCAUGUAAUACAUGGAUCCAUUGAGUUGAAUUGCUCAAUGUGUUUUGUGUGUUGCAACGUUCAAGUAGUGUGUAGUAUGUACUCACGGUUAGGUGCGAUUCGGUGGGUAUCUUACCUGACCCGUCUUGAAACACGGACCAAGGAGUCUAACAUGUGCGCAAGUCAUUGAGUGUUUAAACUUAAAGGCGAAAUGAAAGUAAAGUAUGGCUUCGUGUCAUGCAGAGUGGAAUCUUGUUGUUGCUUAAAUCAUAUACAGCAAGCGCACCACUGCCCUGUCACAUGAGCUGCAGCAAUGCAACUUCGACAGAGUAUAAGCGUACAUGUUGGGACCCGAAAGAUGGUGAACUAUGCGAGGCGAAGUCGAAGCCGGAGGAAACUCUGGUGGAAGACUGUAGCGAUUCUGACGUGCAAAUCGAUCGUCGCAGCUUCGUAUAGGGGCGAAAGACUAAUCGAACCAUCUAGUAGCUGGUUCCCUCCGAAGUUUCCCUCAGGAUAGCUGGCACUCUAAUGCACACAGUUUCAUCCGGUAAAGCGAAUGAUUAGAGGCUUUGGGGACAAAAUGUCCUCAACCUAUUCUCAAACUUUAAAUGGGUGAGAUGCCUUGCUCGCAUAAUUGGAGCUUGGCGUCAUUUUAUCACGAAUGCGAGUGCCCAGUGGGCCAUUUUUGGUAAGCAGAACUGGCGAUGUGGGAUGAACCAAACACCCGGUUAAGGCGCCUAACUAUAACGCUAAUCGGAUCCCAUUGAAAGGUGUUGGUUGAUUAUGACAGCAGGACGGUGGCCAUGGAAGUUGGAAUCCGCUAAGGAGUGUGUAACAACUCACCUGCCGAAUCAACCAGCCCUGAAAAUGGAUGGCGCUUAAGCGUUUGGCCUAUACCGGGUCGUUACGGCAAGCAUAAUUUAUUGUGCAACAUGCCGUAACGAGUAGGAGGGCGCUGUGGUAGCGUUGAAGCCUUGGGUGUGAACCCGGGUCGAGCUGCCAUAGGUGCAGAUCUUGGUGGUAGUAGCAAAUAUUCAAACGAGAACUUUGAAGGCCGAAGUGGAGAAGGUUUCCAUGUGCACAGCACUUGAACAUGGGUCAGUCGGCCCUAAGUGAUAGGCUAAUGCUAUUCAUAAAGUGGACAUGCCGAAAUAAUAAGGGGUGAUAGUAGUAGUAGUAUAGUAGUAGUAUUUUAUAAUAUUAUUACAUCAUUAUUACACACCACCAUCCUUACAUGUGCUAUCAAGUCCACAGUCUAUCGAAAGGGAAUCGGGUUAAUAUUCCCGAACCAGGACGCGGAGAUAGGGUUUUCCCUUUGGGAUCCCAGUGCGGUAACGCAAACCACCUCGAAUACAUCGGCAAGAGUCCCGGGAAGAGUUCUCUUUUCUUUGUAAGGGGUCGAGUCCCUGGAAGCGGUUUACCCGGAGAUAGGGAUAUGGCGACACCCGUAAAGCACCACGGUUUUUGUGGUGUCCGGUGCACAAUUGUCGAUACUUAAAAAUUCGAGUGAGACGGUGUCAUUUUCGCGCCUGGCCGUACCCAUAUCCGCAGCAGGUCUCCAAGGUGAAAAGCCUCUGGCCUUAGACUGAUGUAGUCAAGGGAAGUCGGCAAAUUGGAUCCGUAACUUCGGGAAAAGGAUUGGCUCUAUGGGCUGGGCUGUUCGGGCUUUGAUAAGAAGCGUUCCAGGUACGAGGUUGGGCUGACAGGUGCGUCGCUUCGGUGAUGCCUUGUUGGACCGUGCCUAGUCCAGGUCGUGGACUGUCUCAGCUUCACUUAUGUCAUCUCUUUGGUGGCAUUUGUUUCGGACAGCAUCCAGCAGCCAACAUAGAACUGGCACGGACCAGGGGAA